Molecule: ribosomal RNA, 505 nt
Filed under: uncultured bacterium
Lineage: Bacteria
Description: partial 16S ribosomal RNA
Rfam family: Bacterial small subunit ribosomal RNA
Source: RNAcentral
GACGAACGCUGGCGGCGUGCCUAAUACAUGCAAGUAGAACGCACAGUUUAUACCGUAGCUUGCUACACCAUAGACUGUGAGUUGCGAACGGGUGAGUAACGCGUAGGUAACCUGCCUGGUAGCGGGGGAUAACUAUUGGAAACGAUAGCUAAUACCGCAUAAUAUUAAUUAUUGCAUGAUAAUUAAUUGAAAGGUGCAAUUGCACCACUACCAGAUGGACCUGCGUUGUAUUAGCUAGUAGGUGAGGUAACGGCUCACCUAGGCGACGAUACAUAGCCGACCUGGGAGGGUGAUCGGCCAACCUGGGACUGAGACACGGCCCCGACUUCUACGGGAGGCAGCCGUAGGGGAUCUUCGGCAAUGGCCGGAAGUCUGACCGCGCAACGCCGCGUGAGUGAAGAAGGUUUUCGGAUCGUAAAGCUCUGUUGUAAGAGAAGAACGGGUGUGAGAGUGGAAAGUUCACACUGUGACGGUAUCUUACCAGAAAGGGACGGCUAACUACGUG